Non-coding RNA from Triticum urartu, 115 nucleotides. Lineage: Eukaryota; Viridiplantae; Streptophyta; Magnoliopsida; Poales; Poaceae. The record is from Rfam.
CACAUACUCCCUCUGUCCCAUAUCAAUUGUCGCUCAAACGGAUGUAUCUAGCACUGAUAUACGGCUAGAUACAUCCGUUUGAACGACAAUUAAUAUAGGACGGAGAGAGUAUUGU